Long non-coding RNA from Gadus macrocephalus (Pacific cod), 2661 nucleotides. RefSeq lists it as uncharacterized. NCBI's taxonomy places the organism in Eukaryota, Metazoa, Chordata, Actinopteri, Gadiformes, Gadidae. The transcript is spliced from 2 exons. The record is from RefSeq and is a predicted model, not a curated record.
AGACGAGGUCAUCCUUUACAACAUCGCAACGGUAGUAGGUGACCAAGUUCACCCUAAACAACAUUGCCUAAUCGUGGUGACGAGCCUCCAUGUCCCAUUCCAAUACGACUGCUGAACUAGUGAAACGGUGAAUUUGGUUUUGAACAAAAACUAGGGAUGCACCGAAUUUCCGGCCACCGAAAUUUUUUGGCCGAAAAUGGCCCAAGAGCGCAAUUUCAGUUUUCGGCCGAAAUACUUUUGUCACCAAAACAACACGGCCGAAACAGAAAUUUGUGAUGACGCAAACAAAAAGCACGGCCAGCAUACGCUUGUCUGGAUAAGCGCCAAUAUGUCUGCGGUGUGGACGUUUUUCAAUGUUUCUGAGAAAGACCCACGUAUAGCGAUUUGCAAAAAUUGCAAUGCCUUGAUUUUAAUGAAGUUAGUACACAGUCAUAGCUAGUGGUGCAACGGUUCACGGGUUUCCCGUGAUCCGUACGGAUCAACCCUCAACCAUCAAAGGUUCGGGACGCAAGUGAUCCGUGUAUCGGCUGAUAAAAAAAAAAAAAAAUUGUGCUGAUCAGCGCAUGUUUAAAGGACAAUUCCGGUAUUAACAACAUCAAGUAUCGUAGCGAAAUACAGUUUCUGUUGUAAUUUAUUUGGCGUUCCGUAAAUCCCAUUGAAAUGGGAACCGGAAGCGGACAUGUUUAUGUUUGGUUGUAGACUUUUUGCUCGGUUCUCCACAUCAACAGCAGGGCUAGAGCCGAGCGAAAAGACUACAACCAACCUCCCUUGCAAUGAGCAAUGAAAUCAAUGGAUUUACAAAAUGCCAAAUAAAACAUAACAGAAACUGUAUUUCGCUACCAUACUUGAUGAAAAAAAAGAAGAUGAGGAUAUCUGCAUUGCCUUGGGAUAGUGUAGACUCUAAACUCUCCCCAGGCAAUGCAGACAUCCUGAAUUGUAAAGCCGGGUUAGGGAUUAUUUACUAUCCAUGUUAAAAAGAAGGAAUAAUGCCUCAGAAUGCAAUUUUUAUAAAUAUUGACUAUGCUUAAAGGAAGCAGGAUUAUUACCUAAUUUUUCACUUUAUUUUGUUUUUACACGUUUGAAGACUUUAUUUAAAGUCACAUUUGUCUUGUUAUCUUUAUUGUUGUUGUUGAUCCGAAAAUGAUACGACCCGAUGACUGGGUCAUCAAUGAUGACCCAGUUUUGUGAUCCGUUUCACCCCUAGUCAUAGCCAUAAAUGCAAUGGUACUAGGGUUGCCGCGGUGUGGACAUUUUCACAACGAGUAGCCAAAUACACUCGUGUCAACACCGGUAUUACGGACUAUAAAUGGUAUAAACUUUGAAACUAGGUCAACCGCCUUGGUUUCCUCAGGUUUCGGUUUCGGCCAAGAAUUUUCAUUUCGGUGCAUCCCUACUAAAAACCAAAGUGCAAUAUCACGUAGGCUCUGUGAGGAGGAAGGCCGUGUCUUUCUGAUCCGCUCUUGGUCCGAAAUGAAUUUGCACUGUAGCAUUAGAGCAAUUGAUUCUGGUCAUCCGCUGUUGUUUAUAGGGCACAAGCUAUAUCGUUUGCAUAAUGACGCUGUACGGUAGAUGUAUUCUGUCACUAAUAACGUGUGUGUGUGUGUUUUUCUACCAUUGAUGGUGGAUAUCUCCAAUUUAAUAAAAAAAAUUGAUGAACAAUGAACAGUAAGUACCUGUCUCAGAAUUAGAUAAAAAGGUAAAUAUAAUCUGAAGCAAUUAGAGGCUUCUUCGAUCAGUCUGAUCUUGGAAAUUGCAUGAACUUGUGGAACUGCUGGAAGCAUUUAAUGGUUGACUACUUCCAGUAGUUGGGGGGCUUUGGCUUCCUAGAGGCUCUGUCCCACACUGAGGUGGUUGGGUCGUCGUUUGACUAUGGGUCGAUAACUUCAAGCUAGCUCCAGCAAUUUUUGUGAAGGAAUAAAGGCCUUCGACGUGGCCCAUGUGGUUAAGCCCACUUGUAGGCCAAAACUAGCAGGGCUCAAAGUUCCAGUGCUAAAGCAGGCCGCUGCUGCUAUGGCCCCCAGCCCACCUGGCUGGGCUGCUAAGGCCCCCAGCCCUACUGGGUGGGCUGCUAUGGCCCCCAGCCCUACAGGGUGGGCUGCUAUGGCCCCCAGCUGGGUGAGCUCUGCUCUGUUUGCCGCUCAGAUUCUGCUCCUUUGAGUCGGUUAUAUAUUGAAAAAUACAAAACAGAAUAAUGUUCACUGCCCGGUUGGGCCUGGAAUGGAGUGGGUGUCUUUCCCAAUGUUGUCUUUACGACAACAUUGACAAUAAGUGAAAUGGACCUUCUGCUGUCUCCAAACCCCACUUACCAGCUUCUUAUGUAGGAGCUGUUUGUACAUCCCUGGUCUCCACAUGUCUGCGUGAUUGGAACAGUUUUCAAUGUAUACGUCUCCACAACACAUGUACACCAGGAGAUAAGUGAUCAGCCAAUCAAUAUCCAAUAUGUCUGUGAUGCGAAAUAGAGAAUACCAAUAUAUACUAUGAAGUGUUACAAGCUCUUAGUGGUGCAACGGUUCACGGGUUUCCCGUGAUCCGUACGGAUCAACCAUCACGGUUCGGGACGCAAGUGAUCCGCGGAUCAGCUGAUAAAAAAAAAAAAAGUUGUGCGUUGACGUGAUCAGCGCAUGUUUAGAGGACAAUUCCGGUAUCAACAACAUCAUCAAG